This is an RNA transcript of Juglans microcarpa x Juglans regia, 2809 nucleotides long. It is a transcript of the gene named calmodulin-binding receptor kinase CaMRLK-like, with no coding region annotated. The record is from RefSeq and is a predicted model, not a curated record. The transcript has 3 exons. Lineage: Eukaryota; Viridiplantae; Streptophyta; Magnoliopsida; Fagales; Juglandaceae.
CUCUUAACACCAAAAAUAUAAAAGCUCUGUCUCCUGGCAUUUCAUAUGCUCUCUGUUUCUCUCUCCCAGAGUAUGUAAGCAAGAGAAUCUCGUUUUCAAACUACCUUUGAACCGAAAAAUGAAGACCUUCUGCAGAUUUUUGGUCGUUUUUUCUCUGGUUGUACUUGUGGAAUCCGCAUGCAACAGUACAGACCAAGAACUGGUCUUCAAGGCUUUCAAAUCAGUCAAUGGAUUUAAUCGUUCUUGGUUUCAGUCUGCAGAUUGGAACUGUUCAAGGCCUCAUAUUACAGAAAUAAGGCUUCCCUCCAGAAAUUUAAGCGGCAUCAUCUCAUGGAGGUUCCUCGGGAGCUUGUCACAGUUGCGGAUUCUCGAUGUCUCUGGGAACUCUCUGCAAGGGUCUGUGCCUGGUUGGUUUUGGUCCCUUUCAAGCUUGGCAUAUGCUAAUUUGUCCAAGAACCGGUUUGGAGGGAGCAUUGGAUUUGAACCCACCACGAGAAAUGGUUCCUUCUCGUCGGUUCAGAUGCUCAAUCUGUCAACCAACAGGUUCACCAAUUUGGCCCGGCUCGGUGGUUAUCCGGAGCUUAGAGUUCUUGACCUCUCGCGCAACAAUUUCCGAGCUUUGCCUUCUGGGUUCGCCAACCUCACCAAGCUAGUGCACCUCAAAAUUUCAAGCUGCAAAAUGUCAGGCAAUGUAAAACCUAUCUCGGUUCUUCGGUCAUUAAAAUAUUUAGACGUGUCCAACAACUCCAUGAAUGGUACUUUCCCUUUUGAUUUCCCUCCCCUUGGUAUGCUCAACUUCCUUAACAUUUCGCUUAACAAUUUCACACUAGUAGUUGACCCAGACAAGUACCGGAGAUUUGGAAAAUCCGCGUUCAUCCAUUCUGGGACCUCAGUUUUCAAUACUUCCAAAACGCCAAGCAUUGAUCAUGUCCAACCUCAUUUCAAAACCCCACCUCACAGUCGCAGACCCGUCCAAAAACACAACCCUUUGAACAAAAACUCCAGCACUAAAAACCCAAAAUCAAAAACCAAAGCUCUGGUUCUGGGUCUAACAUGUGCAUCUGCAUCUGUCUUUGUUUUCAUGGCCAUCUGUUUGGGCUUGUUGUACAGAAGGAACAGACUUGCAAGACAGAACAAAUGGGCAAUCUCCAAACCGGUCCAAUUGCCCUUCAAGUACGAGAAAUCAGGGCCGUUUUCGUUCGAGACGGAGUCGGGCACGUCAUGGGUCGCUGACAUCAAAGAACCAACCUCGGCUCCAGUGGUGAUGUUCGAGAAGCCACUGAUGAAUCUGACCUUCAAGGAUCUGAUCGCCGUCACUUCACACUUCGGCAAGGAGUCCCAGCUCGCAGAAGGUAGGAGUGGGCCCGUGUACAGAGCCAUCCUCCCGGGAGAAAUCCACGUGGCAAUCAAGGUCCUGGAAAACGCCAGGGACGUCGAUCACGACGAUGCCGUAUCCUUGUUCGAGGACCUUUCCCGGCUCAAACACCCCAACCUACUCCCCCUCUCUGGCUACUGCAUUGCAGGGAAAGAGAAGCUGAUCUUGUACGAAUACAUGUCCAACGGCAACUUGCACCGGUGGCUUCACGAGCUACCGACCGGGGAGCCCAAUGUGGAGGACUGGAGCGGCGAUACGUGGGAGCUGCACCAUGCCUCUGGAUCCCAACUAUCAUCACCGGAGAAAUUGGUAUGGGUCACGCGCCACCGCAUUGCUGUGGGCAUAGCGCGAGGGCUGGCAUUCCUCCACCAUGCCGGAUCCAAACCCGUUGUGCAUGGCCGCCUUGUAGCUUCUAACGUGUUACUAUCCGAGAGUUUCGAGCCACGUAUUAUGGAUUUCGGAUUUCGAAAUAUGAGGACACAAGAUGCGGGCCAAUGGAGCACGGAGACGGACGUGUAUUGUUUCGGGGUGGUACUAAUGGAGUUGCUAACGGGUAGGGUAGGGUCCGCUGAGACGGUGGUGUGGGUGAGGAGGUUGGUGAGGGAAGGUGUGGGGGCAAGAGCGCUAGACCCGAGGGUGAGGCUAGGAGGGGAAGAGCUAGUGAGGGAGAUGGUGGAGAGCCUCCGAGUCGCGUACUUGUGUACGUCGGAAUCACCUGGGAAGAGGCCCACCAUGCAACAGGCCUUAGGUCUACUCAAGGAUAUACAUCCCGCUCAUGGUGCGGAUCUCAUUCGUCUCGACCCUGUUUUGUCCCAGCUUCAAGCCCCGUGAUAAUGGAGUGCCACCCUCGUGUACUUAAUUUGAAGCGCAUGCCAAUAGAAGCCUCACAAAGAGGGUACAGAGGCUGGAGACGUUUCUGCGUCAUUCAAUGCUUGAUUAUUUACACAAAUCAUUCUCAUGAUGAUCCUCUGAAGCUGGCAUUUCAAUUCUCAGUUGGAAGUAUAUGCAAAUUGGAGUAAAAAAAAAAAAGGCAAAAGAGAGUUGAACGAAUAAUGUAUCGUAUGUAAAGAGACAGCGAAUUCAACGAAAUGCCGUGCUCUGCAGGGGCUCUUAACACUUAGUAAUACCAGUUAAAUUGCCACUUGCCCCGCGCCCUGUCCGUCAUGCAUGGUGUUGCUGUAAUUUGCUGCGCACACUUUUCUUUAUGGAAAGAAAGAAAAAAGGUUGCUGAAUGGCAUACAAAUCGGCUUAGGACUAAGUGCUUUACCCAGUGUUGUCUUUUGGACCAUAGAGGUGGGACUCUCUAGGAGUUUCUUAUCUUUCAUCCUUUUAGCUUUCAUGUCUUUGAUACUUUUGCUUUGGAUAGUCUUUUCUUUUCUGGCAAAUUACUUGAUUAUAUUACAUAAAUAAGAAAGAUAAUCUGGUUUCCAUUAA